This 501-nucleotide ribosomal RNA is filed under the name Triticum aestivum (bread wheat). Its description in RNAcentral is "partial small subunit ribosomal RNA". The record is from RNAcentral. Lineage: Eukaryota; Viridiplantae; Streptophyta; Magnoliopsida; Poales; Poaceae.
AUGGCACAGACAGAUCUGGAUAUUCGAUUAUUGCAACAACCACCAAACAGCCCUGAGCUCAAUGUUCUAGAUCUUUGUUUCCACUGCUCCCUCCAAUCCCUAACCGACUGCAGAGCGCCUAUGAAUAUACAGGAACUGGUACAGGGUGUAGAGGAGGAGUUUGAGAGCUACGAUCCCCAUAAGCUGUUCAAAAGCUUUAUGACGUUGCAAGCAGUCAUGGUGGAAGUGAUGAAAGAUCAAGGAGGAAAUACCUAUAAGCUGCCGCAUCUACACAAGGACCGUCUACAAAAUGGUGGAGAAGAAAUAACCGGUGUAUAUUGCAGUGCAGAGCUAAUUACUGAUACGAUGGCCAUUAUAGAACAAGGGGAAUAUAGCUCAGGAAAAGGAAAGGGAAAGGAGUAUAUAGGGAAAGGAAAAAGAAAUGAUAGGAGUAUGUCAUGUGUCAUGUGUAUGUCUUUGUGUCAUGUGUUCAAUGAGAAAAGAUUGGAGUGUGUCAUGUGA